RNAcentral lists this ribosomal RNA (253 nucleotides) under uncultured bacterium. RNAcentral's name for it is "partial 16S ribosomal RNA". It matches the Rfam family "Bacterial small subunit ribosomal RNA", at positions 524 to 776 of the family's 1533-position model. The record is from RNAcentral.
UACGUAGGGGGCAAGCGUUGUCCGGAAUCAUUGGGCGUAAAGAGCGUGUAGGCGGCCCGGUAAGUCCGCUGUGAAAGUCCAGGGCUCAACCCUGGGAUGCCGGUGGAUACUGUCGGGCUCGAGUCCGGAAGAGGAGUGUGGAAUUCCUGGUGUAGCGGUGAAAUGCGCAGAUAUCAGGAGGAACACCAAUGGCGAAAGCGGCUCUCUGGAACGGUACUGACGCUGAGACGCGAAAGCGUGGGGAGCGAACAGG